CAGGCGGGGUUGUGCAAGGCUCCGUAGGUGGGUGUGGGCGGGCGAGUGGUUCCGCUGAUGUCAUCGCUCCUGCGCCUUGCUCGGCCUCUGAUAGUCCGGCGACGUGCUUUGAGCUCUACAUGGACGAAUGUUGGCAAGCUUCUGGCUCGUUUUGGUCAACUGGAGGUCUUUGAUGUCUAGCGGAAGAUCCUGUUAGAGCUUAGUUGGUGUUCUGUUUCACUUACUUCUCUAUAAAGUAUUAUAUUGCAGUCCCCAGAUAUUUUAAUGACUGAUCUCAUAUUGUGGGUGACAUUGUAGUGAACGCGUAUGUAAUGCAAUUCGCGAUUGAGCUUAAAAGAUCGGUUUCAGAUAAUACAACAAUCCAUAAUGUUCAAAUAAAGAUUUGACGGAGAAAAUGGUCCAAGUGGGAAAUGAUUUAUCGAUUUUAUAGGCUGGCGACUCGCUCUUGUCAGUGCAGAAAUAAUCUAUAAAGCUCAGUCAGCAAUAUUGAUUAUCAAUUUUCUUAACCGUAUUCACGUGUCGUCCUUUAUGAGGUCAGGUCAUCAGAAGUAAGUACGUAAAUAUAAAGUGGAUGAUUAAAAAUACUUCAUGUCUGUUAGAGCUAAGUAGGUAUUACUAAUUUAGUUAGACACGGCAAUUAAUUUUAUAUUGUAAGCAUGUCGCCUGUUCUUGGCCGUGAGUUUUAAAAUUAUGAUG
Plutella xylostella (diamondback moth) is the source of this 696-nucleotide non-coding RNA. NCBI's taxonomy places the organism in Eukaryota, Metazoa, Arthropoda, Insecta, Lepidoptera, Plutellidae. The record is from RefSeq and is a predicted model, not a curated record.